This is a non-coding RNA of Phrynosoma platyrhinos (Desert horned lizard), 71 nucleotides long. Lineage: Eukaryota; Metazoa; Chordata; Lepidosauria; Squamata; Phrynosomatidae. The record is from the annotation of a GenBank genome assembly.
GCCAACAUGGCGUAAUGGUUUGAGUGUUGGACUAGGACUCUGGAGACCAGGGUUCAAAUCUCAGCUCGGCC